GCAGUAAAAGUGCAUAUACGUAAAUUGGAACGACACAGCUAAGAUUGGAAUGGCCUCUGCUCAAGGAUGACGCGGAAAAUAGGGAGUUUUGUCAUUUUAUU
This 101-nucleotide small nuclear RNA is filed under the name Haemaphysalis longicornis (longhorned tick). The record is from RNAcentral. Lineage: Eukaryota; Metazoa; Arthropoda; Arachnida; Ixodida; Ixodidae.